Molecule: unclassified non-coding RNA, 919 nt
Filed under: Leishmania donovani
Lineage: Eukaryota; Euglenozoa; Kinetoplastea; Trypanosomatida; Trypanosomatidae
Description: gene:LdHU3.03.0160(CDS-product:hypothetical_prote in_conserved)
Source: RNAcentral
AUAGGCGCACACUGUUGUACAGUGGCAGCGACAUACCUUCAAGGGCACCAACAAGUACGCAUCCGACACGCCCGCCAUGUCGUCACCGUAUUCGCCGCCGAGAGCUGUCGUCACGGACAACUCGAAAGACGACGCUUUUCUCGUGAAGGACUUGACACUACUGAUGGCAGCACUGCGACUCAACAACAGCGAUGACUGGGCUGGAAAGCCGCAGCAGGAGACAUUCCGUGUGUACGAGACGAUGCCGCCUGUGGCUACGGCCCAGCCUUCCCCCUGCAGCGCGGAUGUGGGUGACGCUGCACGAGGCUCAUCGCCGCACGACUCUGAUAAGAGCGAUGCCAGCAGCGACUCUCUAAGCACCCUCAUGACUGGCUACGUGCAUGCGGUGCGCGCCCUGCAUGCCUUCGAUGCACAAAUGGCAGCCGACGGCAUCCGAGAGAGCGCCACUGCAGAGGCAGGUCACACGGGAGGUGGAGUGGUGGGCGCGGAGGAGGAGGCAACGACGCCUUGCAAGGCAGCAGCCGAUGAUGGCAGCUCCUCGGCAGCCAACACCAAACGCGCUGAGGCGGCUGCACCGGUCGACAUGGCAGAGUUGCUGGCGGCGCCGGAUCUCCUGCCAUGUCUAAUGAUAGAUGAACAAGGAGAACAGAGCUGAAGGACUUGCUCACCGGGCAUGUCCGUCCAACCCUUUCUCUUAGGUCUCCCGUCACUACCGACGUCUCUGAGGCACUUCGCCGCACCUCCUGCGCGUCAGAGAGCCGCUGCGCUUGACGGUCUUCUUAUGUUUUACGCCUGUUUCUUUUCUGCAUCCCUUCCCGUGGAGGUGACAACACGCACACGCACGGGCCCUAACUUGACAGGAAAGCCGUGUCUAUUGAAGACGUCAGUGCAUCCACUUUUGCUCUCUAUCUCGGCCACC